GACGAACGCUGGCGGCGUGCUUAACACAUGCAAGUCGUACGGUAAGGCCCUUUCGGGGGUACACGAGUGGUGAACGGGUGAGUAACACGUGAGUAACCUGCCCACAACUUUGGGAUAACGCUAGGAAACUGGUGCUAAUACUGGAUAUGUGCUCCUGCUGCAUGGUGGGGGUUGGAAAGCUCCGGCGGUUGUGGAUGGACUCGCGGCCUAUCAGCUUGUUGGUGGGGUAGUGGCCUACCAAGGCGGCGACGGGUAGCCGGCCUGAGAGGGUGACCGGCCACAUUGGGACUGAGAUACGGCCCAGACUCCUACGGGAGGCAGCAGUGGGGAAUAUUGCACAAGGGGCGCAAGCCUGAUGCAGCAACGCCGCGUGCGGGAUGACGGCCUUCGGGUUGUAAACCGCUUUCAGCAGGGACGAAGCUUUUUGUGACGGUACCUGCAGAAGAAGCACCGGCUAACUACGUG
RNAcentral lists this ribosomal RNA (465 nucleotides) under uncultured bacterium. RNAcentral's name for it is "partial 16S ribosomal RNA". It matches the Rfam family "Bacterial small subunit ribosomal RNA", at positions 28 to 507 of the family's 1533-position model. The record is from RNAcentral.